GACGAAGGACCCAAGCGUUAUCCGGAUUCAUUGGGUUUAAAGGGUGCGUAGGCGGAUUGAUAAGUCAGUGGUGAAAGCCUGCAGCUUAACUGCAGAACUGCCAUUGAUACUGUCGAUCUUGAAUAUGUUUGAUGUGGGCGGAAUAUGACAUGUAGCGGUGAAAUGCUUAGAUAUGUCAUAGAACACCGAUUGCGAAGGCAGCUCACAAAGCCAUAAUUGACGCUGAGGCACGAAAGCGUGGGGAGCAAACAGGAUUAGAUACCCUGGUAGUCCACGCCGUAAACUUUGAUCACUCGCUGUUGGCGAUACACUGUCAGCGGCCAAGCGAAAGCGUUAAGUGAUCCACCUGGGGAGUACGAUCGCAAGAUUGAA
RNAcentral lists this ribosomal RNA (372 nucleotides) under uncultured bacterium. Its description in RNAcentral is "bacterial SSU rRNA". It matches the Rfam family "Bacterial small subunit ribosomal RNA", at positions 524 to 898 of the family's 1533-position model. The record is from RNAcentral.